GGUCAAGUGAAGAAGCGCAUACGGUGGAUGCCUUGGCAGUCAGAGGCGAUGAAAGACGUGGUAGCCUGCGAUAAGCUUCGGGGAGUCGGCAAACAGACUUUGAUCCGGAGAUCUCUGAAUGGGGGAACCCAGCCAUCAUAAGAUGGUUAUCUUGUACUGAAUACAUAGGUGCAAGAGGCGAACCAGGGGAACUGAAACAUCUAAGUACCCUGAGGAAAAGAAAUCAACCGAGAUUCCCUUAGUAGUGGCGAGCGAACGGGGACUAGCCCUUAAGUGGCUUUGAGAUUAGCGGAACGCUCUGGAAAGUGCGGCCAUAGUGGGUGAUAGCCCUGUACGCGAAAAUCUCUUAGUCAUGAAAUCGAGUAGGACGGGGCACGAGAAACCUUGUCUGAAUAUGGGGGGACCAUCCUCCAAGGCUAAAUACUACUGACUGACCGAUAGUGAACCAGUACCGUGAGGGAAAGGCGAAAAGAACCCCGGAGAGGGGAGUGAAAUAGAACCUGAAACCGUAUGCGUACAAGCAGUGGGAGCCCACUUUGUUGGGUGACUGCGUACCUUUUGUAUAAUGGGUCAGCGACUUAUUUUCAGUGGCGAGCUUAACCGAAUAGGGGAGGCGUAGCGAAAGCGAGUCUUAAUAGGGCGUCUAGUCGCUGGGAAUAGACCCGAAACCGGGCGAUCUAUCCAUGGGCAGGUUGAAGGUUAGGUAACACUGACUGGAGGACCGAACCGACUACCGUUGAAAAGUUAGCGGAUGACCUGUGGAUCGGAGUGAAAGGCUAAUCAAGCUCGGAGAUAGCUGGUUCUCCUCGAAAGCUAUUUAGGUAGCGCCUCAUGUAUCACUGUAGGGGGUAGAGCACUGUUUCGGCUAGGGGGUCAUCCCGACUUACCAAACCGAUGCAAACUCCGAAUACCUACAAGUGCCGAGCAUGGGAGACACACGGCGGGUGCUAACGUCCGUCGUGAAAAGGGAAACAACCCAGACCGUCAGCUAAGGUCCCAAAGUUAUGGUUAAGUGGGAAACGAUGUGGGAAGGCUUAGACAGCUAGGAGGUUGGCUUAGAAGCAGCCACCCUUUAAAGAAAGCGUAAUAGCUCACUAGUCGAGUCGGCCUGCGCGGAAGAUGUAACGGGGCUCAAACCAUACACCGAAGCUACGGGUAUCACGUAAGUGAUGCGGUAGAGGAGCGUUCUGUAAGCCUGUGAAGGUGAGUUGAGAAGCUUGCUGGAGGUAUCAGAAGUGCGAAUGCUGACAUGAGUAACGACAAUGCGAGUGAAAAACUCGCACGCCGAAAGACCAAGGGUUCCUGCGCAACGUUAAUCGACGCAGGGUUAGUCGGUCCCUAAGGCGAGGCUGAAGAGCGUAGUCGAUGGGAAACAGGUUAAUAUUCCUGUACUUCUAGUUACUGCGAUGGAGGGACGGAGAAGGCUAGGCCAGCUUGGCGUUGGUUGUCCAAGUUUAAGGUGGUAGGCAGAGUGCUUAGGUAAAUCCGGGCGCUUAAUGCCGAGAACUGAUGACGAGUCGUCUUUUAGACGAUGAAGUGGUUGAUGCCAUGCUUCCAGGAAAAGCUUCUAAGCUUCAGGUAACUAGGAACCGUACCCCAAACCGACACAGGUGGUUGGGUAGAGAAUACCAAGGCGCUUGAGAGAACUCGGGUGAAGGAACUAGGCAAAAUGGCACCGUAACUUCGGGAGAAGGUGCGCCGGUGAGGGUGAAGGACUUGCUCCGUAAGCCCAUGCCGGUCGAAGAUACCAGGCCGCUGCGACUGUUUAUUAAAAACACAGCACUCUGCAAACA
Molecule: ribosomal RNA, 1793 nt
Filed under: Pseudomonas tohonis
Lineage: Bacteria; Pseudomonadati; Pseudomonadota; Gammaproteobacteria; Pseudomonadales; Pseudomonadaceae
Description: partial 23S ribosomal RNA
Rfam family: Bacterial large subunit ribosomal RNA
Source: RNAcentral